GAGAGUAAAACAGUACGUGAAAUUGUUGAAAGGGAAACGAUUGAAGUCAGUCAUGCCGGCGUUGGAUUCAGCUUGCUUCGCGGAGCUUGCGCAUUUCCUCGCAUGGCAGGUCAGCGUCAGUUUUGCGCGGCGUGAAAAGGCUCGGGUAAGGUAGCUCUCUUCGGGGAGUGUUAUAGACCUGGGCAAAUGCGCAGUGCGGGACUGAGGAUUGCAGCGGACACCUCUUCGGAGGCGCGGCGACCGAACCCUGCUCGGCCACCCUCGUUCGAUAGCGUGCUAGCGGACGCGGGAGCGGCAGUGCACCGGAACAGGCAAGCCAGCGGUUCGCUUAGGAUGCUGACGUAAUGGCUUUAAACGA
This 358-nucleotide ribosomal RNA is filed under the name uncultured Archaeospora. Its description in RNAcentral is "partial 28S ribosomal RNA". The record is from RNAcentral. Lineage: Eukaryota; Fungi; Glomeromycota; Glomeromycetes; Archaeosporales; Archaeosporaceae.